This is a small nuclear RNA of Callorhinchus milii (elephant shark), 115 nucleotides long. Its record names the gene U5. It matches the Rfam family "U5 spliceosomal RNA". From Rfam's summary of the family: U5 RNA is a component of both types of known spliceosome. The precise function of this molecule is unknown, though it is known that the 5' loop is required for splice site selection and p220 binding, and that both the 3' stem-loop and the Sm site are important for Sm protein binding and cap methylation. Lineage: Eukaryota; Metazoa; Chordata; Chondrichthyes; Chimaeriformes; Callorhinchidae. The record is from Ensembl.
AUGUUCUGGUUUCUCUGGGCGUAUAAAUCUUUCACCUUUUACUAAAGAUUUCUGUGGAGAGGCACAUUUAUGUGUUUUCAAACUAAUCAUUUUGAAAAAUGCAAGUUUCAAUUGU